AAACAUUUGUAAAUUUAGUUAUUAAAUUUAUAUGCAUUACAUAUUUAUUUAAUUUAACAUUUAGCAUCUACACGAGUUAUUUAUUUAAGCGAACACUGAAUGAUUAUUACAGUUUUCAUUAUAUUUUAUUUAUUUCUUUUCCACUCACACUUUACACUACACUACACUACACGAUAUAUUUUUUUUUCCCCACCAAUUUCACCCACUCUUCCACUCACACUUAUAAGCUGACCCACUCUUCCACCCACACUUAUAAACUGAUUUCACCUAUAAAAGCCUCCAUCCUUUAACGCCUAUUCAUCCCAAAAUCAAUUCUUCUCAUUGAGCUUUCUACUUAAUUCAGUUUCCCAAUCUUGAGCUUCUUCUCAAUCAUAUUCUACAGCAGCUGAACAAUAGAAUAAUCUCAUAAUAAUUUCAUAAAACAAAGGAUCGCCUUUUACUCAACCAUCGACUGGCUUUGUGACCAGGGGGAUUAGCGCUGCUUUCCCAAGACAGGUUUUUAUGUGUAUGAUCUUCAGGCUUUGCCUAUCCAGGUGGGCUUACUUUCCAAAUGUACAAAGUAUGAUUGAGUUAUUAAGCUCUAAAUGUUUUCAAUGAAAUGCAAAUUGUUUAUUUAAUGUAAUGAAAACUGUUUAUCCAAUAAAAUGUUUAUGUGCACUCUGCUCUGUUUAAGGCUCGCAUAAGUUAAUCGAUCGAGGUUCUCUUAUGACCUAACACGUUGUUUGAGAAUUGUGUACACCUAUUAGCUGACUCGGUGGGUUGAUCUCCAUCGGGCACUAAUCAUGUAUGAGGCGUUAUAAGGGUGCUCGACGGGAUGUGUUCCGGAGCAUUGGGUCCCAAAUGGGAACUUGACUGGGUUACGCCCUCAGUUCAAGUAAAGCGGGAGAUAUGGAUCCGUCGGUGGCUAAAAGGUCCGGGAUCACAGCGAGUAACAGAAAGGGAGUGUGACAUGUGCGCACAAAUGAAAAAUGUUUUAACAUGCUUAGAAGUACUUCUUUCAUUUUAAAACCUUCUAAGUCAUGUCUAGUAUAAUUGGAUAAACUGCUCUUACGAAAAUAUGAAAUGUUUAUGAAAAUGCAUGCCCACUAAGUACAUUAGUACUUAGCCCAAAAAUACUUUCAAAUGUUUUCAGGUUGGCUGGCUGGUGCUGACGGGACGGAGCUGAGGCUAGAGUUAAAUUCCUAUGUUAGACUUCCGCUGUAGCAAUUACUCAUAUCAGUCUUUUGUUUUCUCAACUUAAGAUGACUUCAUGUCGAACUUAAAUUUGAAAUUCUAGUUUUAUGCUAAUGAAUGUUGGUUGUCAGAAACAUGAAACAAAACUUGUGAUCCAAAGGGGCAUAGCCCGACUUUCUAUCCUAUUUCGGGUUUUUACAAGGUUGUUCCUUGUUUAUUUCUAUGAAUUAGUUGCACCUCGAUUAUAUUUAUUCCUUCAAGAAUUGGGGUGUGACAGAAUGGUAUCAGAGCAUGAGUUUUCUUUCAUGUUUCUGAUAACCAUAAGCUUUUUGAUGUUGAGUCUAGAAUAGUAUCUCUAGACUUCUAAGAAUGUCAGUAGCCCUCAGCUCACCGUCACACUGCCGCAACCAAGGUACGAUAAUAGUUUCAAAAAUAUACAUAUAUGUAUUUCAGAUGUUAUGAAAGUUUUCAAGAAAAUGUGCGCCUUAUGUUUACGAUGCUAUGUGAAUGCUUUUUGUCGUGUUUGGGACUACUCGAAC
Salvia miltiorrhiza (redroot sage) is the source of this 1712-nucleotide long non-coding RNA. RefSeq lists it as uncharacterized. The transcript is spliced from 3 exons. NCBI's taxonomy places the organism in Eukaryota, Viridiplantae, Streptophyta, Magnoliopsida, Lamiales, Lamiaceae. The record is from RefSeq and is a predicted model, not a curated record.